RNAcentral lists this non-coding RNA (97 nucleotides) under Hyphomonas adhaerens. RNAcentral describes it as "Glycine riboswitch". It matches the Rfam family "Glycine riboswitch aptamer", at positions 7 to 88 of the family's 94-position model. From Rfam's summary of the family: This family represents the bacterial glycine riboswitch. Glycine riboswitches usually consist of two metabolite-binding aptamers domains with similar structures in tandem. The aptamers cooperatively bind glycine to regulate the expression of downstream genes. The record is from RNAcentral. Lineage: Bacteria; Pseudomonadati; Pseudomonadota; Alphaproteobacteria; Hyphomonadales; Hyphomonadaceae.
ACACGCUGGAAAGAGGCGGGCCGUCUGGCGCCACCUCGCCGAAGGAGCAAGCCCGGAGUUCACGGGCGGAAUCUCUCAGGCGCCGAGACAGCGGGGG